UUUCCAGUGGCUUAGUCAGUGGAGCAUUGCGCUAGUAACAUAAAGGUUGUGGGUUCAAACCUCAGAAGAAAAA
Non-coding RNA from Danionella cerebrum, 73 nucleotides. Lineage: Eukaryota; Metazoa; Chordata; Actinopteri; Cypriniformes; Danionidae. The record is from the annotation of a GenBank genome assembly.